UACAGAGGGCUCAAGCGUUGUUCGGAUUCAUUGGGCGUAAAGGGUGUGUAGGUGGCGCCGUAAGUCGGGGGUGAAAUUUCGGAGCUUAACUCCGAAACUGCAUUCGAUACUGCGGUGCUUGAGGACUGGAGAGGAGACUGGAAUUCAUGGUGUAGCAGUGAAAUGCGUAGAGAUCAUGAGGAAGACCAGUGGCGAAGGCGGGUCUCUGGACAGUUCCUGACACUGAGACACGAAGGCCAGGGGAGCAAACGGG
Molecule: ribosomal RNA, 253 nt
Filed under: uncultured bacterium
Lineage: Bacteria
Description: partial 16S ribosomal RNA
Rfam family: Bacterial small subunit ribosomal RNA
Source: RNAcentral